GGUCAAGCGAACAAGUGCAUGUGGUGGAUGCCUUGGCGAUUACAGGCGAUGAAGGACGCGGUAGCCUGCGAAAAGCUUCGGGGAGCUGGCAAACGAGCUUUGAUCCGGAGAUGUCCGAAUGGGGAAACCCGGCCCGAAUGGGUCAUCCGUGACUGAAUACAUAGGUCACGGAAGCG
Molecule: ribosomal RNA, 176 nt
Filed under: Cupriavidus pauculus
Lineage: Bacteria; Pseudomonadati; Pseudomonadota; Betaproteobacteria; Burkholderiales; Burkholderiaceae
Description: partial 23S ribosomal RNA
Rfam family: Bacterial large subunit ribosomal RNA
Source: RNAcentral